CAGUAGCCACGGUAAUACGGAGGGCGCGAGCGUUACCCGGAUUUACUGGGCGUAAAGGGCGUGUAGGCGGCCUGGGGCGUCCCAUGUGAAAGGCCACGGCUCAACCGUGGAGGAGCGUGAGAUACGCUCAGGCUAGAGGGUGGGAGAGGGUGGUGGAAUUCCCGGAGUAGCGGUGAAAUGCGCAGAUACCGGGAGGAACGCCGAUGGCGAAGGCAGCCACCUGGUCCACUUCUGACGCUGAGGCGCGAAAGCGUGGGGAGCAAACCGGAUUAGAGACCCCCGUAGUCCCUGUCUCUUAUAC
RNAcentral lists this ribosomal RNA (301 nucleotides) under uncultured bacterium. RNAcentral's name for it is "partial 16S ribosomal RNA". It matches the Rfam family "Bacterial small subunit ribosomal RNA", at positions 509 to 807 of the family's 1533-position model. The record is from RNAcentral.